RNAcentral lists this ribosomal RNA (467 nucleotides) under uncultured bacterium. RNAcentral describes it as "bacterial SSU rRNA". It matches the Rfam family "Bacterial small subunit ribosomal RNA", at positions 355 to 825 of the family's 1533-position model. The record is from RNAcentral.
UAGGGAAUAUUGGACAAUGGGUGAGAGCCUGAUCCAGCCAUGCCGCGUGCAGGAAGAAGGCGUUAUGCGUUGUAAACUGCUUUUUGCCAGGGGAUAAAAAGACCGUGCGCGGUUAAUUGAAGGUACCUGGUGAAUAAGCCACGGCUAACUACGUGCCAGCAGCCGCGGUAAUACGUAGGGACCAAGCGUUGUUCGGAUUUACUGGGCGUAAAGGGCGCGUAGGCGGUGUGUCAAGUCAGUUGUGAAAUCUCCGAGCUUAACUCGGAACGGUCAACUGAUACUGUCACACUAGAGUACAGAAGGGGCAAUCGGAAUUCUUGGUGUAGCGGUGAAAUGCGUAGAUAUCAAGAGGAACACCUGAGGCGAAGGCGGGUUGCUAGGCUGAUACUGACGCUGAGGCGCGAAAGCUAGGGUAGCAAACGGGAUUAGAUACCCUAGUAGUCCCUGAGCGGGCUGGCAAGGCGCAU